RNAcentral lists this ribosomal RNA (253 nucleotides) under uncultured bacterium. RNAcentral's name for it is "partial 16S ribosomal RNA". It matches the Rfam family "Bacterial small subunit ribosomal RNA", at positions 524 to 776 of the family's 1533-position model. The record is from RNAcentral.
UACAGGGGGUGCUAGCGUUGUUCGGAAUUACUGGGCGUAAAGGGCGCGUAGGCGGCUUCGUAAGUCAGAUGUGAAAUCCCCGGGCUUAACUCGGGACGUGCAUUUGAAACUGCGAGGCUAGGGUGCAGUAGAGGAUGGUAGAAUUCCCAGUGUAGAGGUGAAAUUCGUAGAUAUUGGGAGGAAUACCGGUGGCGAAGGCGGCCAUCUGGGCUGCAACUGACGCUGAGGCGCAAAAGCGUGGGGAUCAAACAGG